AUCUUGCGCAAUGGGCGAAAGCCUGACGCAGCAAUGCCGCGUGAGGGAAGACGGCCUUAGGGUUGUAAACCUCUUUCAGCAGGGACGAAAACAGACGGUACCUGCAGAAGAAGCCCCGGCUAACUACGUGCCAGCAGCCGCGGUAAUACGUAGGGGGCGAGCGUUGUCCGGAAUCAUUGGGCGUAAAGAGCGUGUAGGUGGACUGGAAGGUCUGGUGUGAAAGCCCGGGGCUCAACCCCGGAGAGUCACUGGAAACCAACAGUCUUGAGUCCGGAAGAGGAGAGUGGAAUUCCUGGUGUAGCGGUGGAAUGCGCAGAUAUCAGGAGGAACACCGAUGGCGAAGGCAGCUCUCUGGUACGUGACUGACACUGAGACGCGAAAGCGUGGGGAGCGAACAGG
This 399-nucleotide ribosomal RNA is filed under the name uncultured bacterium. RNAcentral describes it as "bacterial SSU rRNA". It matches the Rfam family "Bacterial small subunit ribosomal RNA", at positions 361 to 776 of the family's 1533-position model. The record is from RNAcentral.